Non-coding RNA from Pelobates cultripes (western spadefoot toad), 484 nucleotides. Lineage: Eukaryota; Metazoa; Chordata; Amphibia; Anura; Pelobatidae. The record is from the annotation of a GenBank genome assembly.
AAAAAGGUUGGCAUAGCUGGGGGCGAACUGUAAAAAAAAAAAAAAAAAAAUGAUCCUCGAACCAGAAAAAAUUAUUGGGUUAAAAUCAAAAUCCCUUCUAUUAUAAAAUUGAUUUGUUCCUCCUUAAAAUUAGAUUUUUCUAAAAAAUAUUUUACAGCCACUAUGCCUUUUUCGUGUGGAAUAAUGCUAUAUAAAGAGCUAACAUCACAUGUAACUAAAGUAUAUCCAUCCUUCCACUGGGUAUGUUCUAAAAUCUGUAGCAUGUGUAUUGUGUCUUUUAAAUAAAAUGGGUUCUUUGUUACUAUUGGCUGUACUAAAACAUCUAUAUAUUCAGAUACUCUCGAUGACACUGAGUUAAUACCUGAUAUUAUUGGUCUGCCAGGAGGAUUGGUGAUGUCUUUAUGUAGUUUCGGCAAAUGGUAAAAUACUGGUAUCCGGGGGUUAUUCAUAUAUAGGUAUUUGGCUUCUUUUUUUCAUUUAAAAU